Jaculus jaculus (lesser Egyptian jerboa) is the source of this 426-nucleotide long non-coding RNA. RefSeq lists it as uncharacterized. The record is from RefSeq and is a predicted model, not a curated record. Lineage: Eukaryota; Metazoa; Chordata; Mammalia; Rodentia; Dipodidae. The transcript has 3 exons.
CUUAACCAUAAAGAAGGAAGAGAGCUCAGUGAAGCAUGGCCAGCUAGACAAUAGGCUUUCUGCAGCCAUAUGAGGCAUAUGCACUUGUUAUUGCCAUUUUACAGCACAAAAACAUAAACAUAUGACCAAACACCUGGCUCCUCACACCUCUGAGACCCUUCAGAACUGAAAAGAACCUGCAAUGUAAGAAGAACUAUGAAGAAAGUCCUGGAUUGAGCUCACCUGAUCCCCAGGACCUGAUGAGCACUCAUACCCAUGGGUGGGGGCUAGCACUUUCUUUCUGUGAAACUAUUGGUCAGAGAUUUCAGAGGGUUUCUGGUCAAGUUCUUCACACCUAUUCUAAUUUUUCACAGGAUAUCAUUCAGAAGAUACAUCAUAAUUUGGCCUUUGGCUGUGCUUCUUAAACCAAAAGCAAAUUUAAACUAA